GAUAAACGCUGGCGGUGUGCAUUAUGCAUGCAAGUCGAACGAGUCAUUUCGGUGAUUAGUGGCAGACGGGUGAGUAACACGUAAGCAACCUGCCCUUAAGUGGGGAACAACUCUGAGAAAUCGGAGCUAAUACCGCAUGUGGUGGUGGGGGUAAGGCCUCAUCACUAAAGCCGUAAGGCGCUUGAGGAUGGGCUUGCGUCCGAUUAGCUAGUUGGUGAGGUAACGGCCCACCAAGGCCGCGAUCGGUAGCUGGUCUGAGAGGACGACCAGCCACACGGGGACUGAGACACGGCCCCGACACCUACGGGAGGCAG
This 314-nucleotide ribosomal RNA is filed under the name uncultured Chloroflexota bacterium. RNAcentral's name for it is "bacterial SSU rRNA". It matches the Rfam family "Bacterial small subunit ribosomal RNA", at positions 28 to 351 of the family's 1533-position model. The record is from RNAcentral. Lineage: Bacteria; Bacillati; Chloroflexota.